Long non-coding RNA from Triticum aestivum (bread wheat), 366 nucleotides. RefSeq lists it as uncharacterized. The transcript is spliced from 3 exons. The record is from RefSeq and is a predicted model, not a curated record. NCBI's taxonomy places the organism in Eukaryota, Viridiplantae, Streptophyta, Magnoliopsida, Poales, Poaceae.
AUGCAGUGGGGGCGGAUAGCGAGAUGGUUUACAGGACUCAGAUCUGAGAGGGACGCAGUCAAAUGGUCUAACCAAGUUUUCUUCAAUCCUAUGUUCUACAUUCUGGUUUUGAUGCCUUGCUGCCUUCGACAUUAAGGUGGGAAGCUUGGCUGAUUCCACCUCCAGUCAGAAGAUUAAUACAUCUAUGGUUUUAUUUUCCAUGCCAACAGCUUGAUUGAUGAUUCCUAAUGCAUCUCAGAAAUAAUUGUUUCUGGAGGAAUGACCAUGCCACAGGUGAUUACCGCGCUAGGACCUGCCCUUGAUAAGAACCAGGGAAACCAUUUAAAAAGAAUGAUGAUUGUGUGAGCCUUUAAAUAUCGCCAACAC